Molecule: long non-coding RNA, 2911 nt
Filed under: Gallus gallus (chicken)
Lineage: Eukaryota; Metazoa; Chordata; Aves; Galliformes; Phasianidae
Source: RNAcentral
UGGAAGCUGAGGGUUGGCUGGGAUCGUACCCUGCUGCUGUUCCCGUCUUGUGCCCGAAGAGCCUGCAGUGCUGUCUUCUGUCUUUAGAAGCCUCCUUCUUCCCAGCCAGCCCCAGGCACAGCCCUGCUGGGUGCUUUGCAUUUUGGAGGGAUGUGCUAGACUGUGACACAGACCAGGUAAGAGCCAAACCAGCAGCAGCAGAAACCCCACAGCACCGUCCCGCUCCAAACUUCUGUUGGCAGCAGCGGAGUUCCUGCUGCCUCUGCCUGUGACUGGGGGGAGCAGGAGGAUGCUUGUGCUGCGUUUGGCCCUAGGCUGGAUCCUGGCUGACAGACAGGCCCACCCCAACCUGCCAUGGAUGGGAACUGGGGUUUUUCCCCCAGUGACAGUGUUUGCAGGAGGGUGAUGGACCUGCGGCGUGUGUUCCCUGGCUGCUCUCAGUGCCUUGGUGUGUCUCUGCAGCCCCCUUCGUUUCCCAUUUGAGGAGCUGAAGGGACACCUUGGUAGCAGACUCGGUGGCAGCAGGUGAGCAUUGCCAGAACUGCAGCAGGGGAGCACAGCAAGGAGGAAUAAAGCCUUGCGGCCCUCCCUCUCCAUCAGUUUGUGCUCCUGUGGCUCAGCCCCAGCCCUGAGGAGCUGUGCUGGGAGGCGAUGGUUGGUGCAGCUCCAGAAGGGCUGAGGUUUGUGAGGGCUGUGUGGGGCUGGGCUGCAAAGCUUUUCCAGCCUCUCACCUGGCUGCCGUGGGAGUGGAGGUGACCUGCUCCUGAGGUCAUCAGGAUGAGUCCAGGCUUGGGCUGGCUGCGGGCUGAUCCCUCACGUUCCCCAGUGCCAUGGCAGGAGGGGAACCCUGUGGUCUGGUAGUGGGAUUCCUCCAGGCCCUCUCUGGUGGCUCAGAAGAGCCAUCCUUGCGUGGGAGAGGAUUGGCUGCUCCAUGGUCGGUGUCUCCCUGUCCGUGGACCAUUCCUUUUCAACACCUUUCAGUAUGCUUGUUAGAGUUUUGUGGGGUUUUUUUUAAUUUUUUGAAUGAUUCAAAUUAUUUUAGUUUAACGUGGAUUUAUUUUCCCUUUUGAGGAAACGUUCAGCCAGCUCGUUGGCAGCAGUUAGCUGUCCUGUUUGAAUUUUAGUAGUGGGUUUGGGGUUUUUUUUUUUUCCCCUUUGCUUUUUUAAUUUUUACUCUAACUGCUCAUUAUUUAUGCCUCUCUUUCUCCCAUCUCAGUUCAUCAUCUUCUGUUCCAGCCCUGGGGUUCAGCGGUCAGCAUAGCUGACCACAUGGCUCUUAGUUCCUCCCAGCUGUGACAGAGCUUUUUGGGUUUGGUUUUUUUUGUUCUUUUUUCUUUUUUUUUUUUUUGAAUGGCACACUGUAGCAAACCUCUGGGAAUUGAAUUCCUUCUCAAAUGAUUUUGUAUUUUAUAAAAUCCUAUUAGUAUGCACUGAGAGUGAACGCACUGUAAUGUCCCUGAACUGACCCUGGCGCCCGCGCUGACACUAAAGGAGGAGUUAACAGCUCACCCUGUGCAAAUAGGUGUGAAAUCUGCCACGCUCUGUGGCUGCGGAGAUGAGCGCCUGUUUCUCAUAUACCAUUGGCACACUUGGGGCUGCAAAAAUAGUAGAACCAGGCCUUACUUUCGUAAUCAGAUUCCGUUCUGUUUGUCGACAGACGCUCGUUGUGUUCCUUUCUUUCAUUACGUGAGUCGGUCGAGGACUGUUCACCUCUCUGAUCUCCAGCAUUCUGACUUCAAACAGCUGUACAAUCGUUUUGUUCUCUCUUCAGCAAGCAUAAAGGUCUCUCUGGCUACAGACCGCAGUGUCCACGCAUGUUUGCAGAGAACGAUCUGCAUGCAGGCAGUGCCUCACCGCACCGGUGAAGCUCGUGUUCACCCUCUCCCAGCAGUAGCCACCUACUGCAGCUGCCUUUUUUUCCUUGCUGCCCAUUAUGCGGGGCUUCGACUUUUCAUACUAUAAAAAAAAGAAGUGUAUUGUUUUUUUUUUUCUUGCCCACCAUGCUUUAAGUCUGAAUGGGAGAGAACUCUCAGCAGACGGCGGCUCCUGGCUGCGAGGUUGCAGAACUCUCAGAUGCGGAUGUGUUUUUCUGCCAUUGGCUGCACCGGUGCUCCGUGGGCGAAUAUGGAUCCAUCAGCCCCCCGGUCUGCGUACCGUAGUUCUCAUGUAGUGCAGAAUUAUCGAGGCAUGUGGCUUUCUUAAGGUACACUAUGUGUGCUUGCCUGGAUUACAAUACGAGACUGUCUUUUUUUAUCGCUUACUACUAGCUUACCAAUAACCUCUAUAAGUAACCUAACUCACAUCUUUGUCAUUCAGACCUUUUCUCCCCACCCCUUUAUUUAUCAAGCAUAAUAUUACAUGUUAAGGGACAGGAAAAUAGACCUUUGUAGAAUACAGCAGAACAGUGUUGCUAACAAUGUUUGAAAUGGGAAUUAGAACCUCUCUGAAAAACGCCAGCCAUGAGAAAUGACUUUGUUGGCACCGUGUUCAUGCGCAUGUAUUUUUUUCUAUUGUUUCCGCUUUUGUCAUGUUACAUCCAUAUCUGUAUUUAUAUCUUGUUUGUUUCACUUUUGAGUGUAUCAUGGCAAUUGUACAGAUGGUUUUUGUUAACAUUUACGUGAUAGAAUUUGCUAAAAAAAAAAAAAAAAUUAAAAUAAAACCUUUUGAGUUUGCCCUAGAGCAAGUGGGACGUGGGUUUGUUGGCAGGGAGGAGCAUUAAUGGAGGCACAUUAUCCGGCACAUCUCCCACUCCAGCAGCCUUUGCCUGUAAAGGAUUCGCUCUCCGUGUUGAAAAUGCAUGGAACCUUUAGGCAAAGGGCUGCUGCCACCUCGUGCAGAUGGACCUCCCGUGGUGUGUGCAGGAACAUGGACCAGACCACAGCUCUGGGAGUGGGGACUUGGCAUGUCUUGG